AGAGUUUGAUCAUGGCUCAGAGCGAACGCUGGCGGCAGGCCUAAUACAUGCAAGUCGAACGCCCCUUUCGGGGGGAGUGGCGGACGGGUGAGUAACGCGUGGGAAUAUGCCCUAUGGUGCGGAACAACUGAGGGAAACUUCAGCUAAUACCGCAUGUGCCCUACGGGGGAAAGAUUUAUCGCCAUAGGAGUAGCCCGCGUUGGAUUAGUUUGUUGGUGAGGUAAUGGCUCACCAAGACUACGAUCCAUAGCUGGUCUGAGAGGAUGAUCAGCCACACUGGGACUGAGACACGGCCCAGACUCCUACGGGAGGCAGCAGUAGGGAAUCUUGCGCAAUGGGCGAAAGCCUGACGCAGCCAUGCCGCGUGAAUGAUGAAGGUCUUAGGAUUGUAAAAUUCUUUCACCGGGGACGAUAAUGACGGUACCCGGAGAAGAAGCUCCGGCUAACUUCGUGCCAGCAGCCGCGGUAAUACGAAGGGGGCUAGCGUUGCUCGGAAUUAC
RNAcentral lists this ribosomal RNA (500 nucleotides) under uncultured bacterium. RNAcentral's name for it is "bacterial SSU rRNA". It matches the Rfam family "Bacterial small subunit ribosomal RNA", at positions 8 to 554 of the family's 1533-position model. The record is from RNAcentral.